Triticum aestivum (bread wheat) is the source of this 3215-nucleotide RNA transcript. RefSeq lists it as uncharacterized. The transcript is spliced from 4 exons. The record is from RefSeq and is a predicted model, not a curated record. NCBI's taxonomy places the organism in Eukaryota, Viridiplantae, Streptophyta, Magnoliopsida, Poales, Poaceae.
GGGGAGCAGUUGGCCGCGUCGUGCGUUGUGACGUUUGCGGGGCCGUGUCCUCGAAACCCCCUCGCCCAAUCCCCUUGCUCGCACGCCGCACCCCCUCCCUCCCUCCUUGAUCUCUAUCCCUCCUCAGCCGCCACAGCAAGAAGCCACGAAUCCUAGCCAUCUCCCUCUCUCUUUGCGUGUUCGUGCUCAUCGCCGCCAUUCCUCCCGCUCCCCGCCGUUGCCCUGCCGCCUCCACCGGCUAGGUACCAUGGAUCAUGGCCGAUGGGAGAGUACGCCAUCGUUGAUCCAUUGCUUAGGUUGGUGGCGCAUGGGUCGGGUCUGGGCAGAAGGCCGGCACCUGCAGGGGAAAACGGCGGGGGUUGGUGCAGCGGAAAGUGAGGAUGGGUUGGUCGUAGAGGGAGGCUCGCCGGCCAAAACAACCGGAGCAAGGAGGCAGUGUCGCCAUGGAGGAAGGCCCACUGGCCGGAGCAGCAGGAGCAACUGCAGCCGCUGGUCGGCCCGACGCACCGCCUCCUCUGCUGCGGCCCGCACGGUCAAGAGGGGCAGCUGCACCGUAGCUGGCGGCGAGUUCGGCGGCCGCCGCCUCCUCUCCUCUUCGAAUCCACAGGUGCCUAUGUGUUGUUCCCCUCGGUUGGAUUGUUCAUCCUUCUUCGCCGGUGGGGUGCUCGUCCAUUGCAGUAGCCUUCGUGUGCUGGAUGAACACUGCCGGUUGAGGUUGGUUUCUUCCCGUUGUGUCCUGCAUCGACAGUCGCAUCUUUCUGCCAUUGCCAUUGAGGUUAGUCUGCGCUCUGUUUGCUUGCAUGCAACAUGUUCGAUGAAAUGUGUGUGUGAUGACCUUUCUUUUUUUUCAUCUCGAUUUGCCUGCUGGUCCGCCUUGGUAUAGUCCUCUGUAUAGCAUGCUUUCUUGGCCUGGUUCUGCUUUCUAGCUCUGGUCUUUCUCCGUUUGUCUAGUAGGUUCAACGAUCUGCUAGGUUGCUGCAUCUGCAACUCUGUGUUGUUGUUCAUGGUUUGCUUUAUUCUUUCUUCCCUACAUGAUUGUUCUUUCUCGCUACACACAUGCUUCUCUUUCUCUAAGUGCCGUAAUACUGUUGUGAUGUCUCUAGCUACAUGCAUUUACCUUUCUUUGUCGGUCUAAUUGUCUAUUGAUGGGCCAUGGUUAUGUGAACUUUAAGAUGUAAUAAUAUAUGGUGUUUAAAUUUGUAUUGUUCAUUGGCGCCUAUGAUUUUGCCAAAGAGUCGUCUGACAUCCAAGUUUUUAUACAUAUUUUACACCAUUGCAGUCCAUAACUUGCUUCAAUCUUGUUACACAUUGGAUUGAAGAUAGGUCGUCCAUUUUUAUUGACUUUUUUUUGUACAUUGUGAAGUCAUGGCCCCAGUUUAUAUUCAUGUUUAGUUUGCUGUGUAGUUCAUGUAUGCUCUGUAAAGAGCAUGUAUAGCUAAUGGGUUUAAUUCGUUUGUUCCUUUUUUAGAUGUUCCGUAUCGGUGCAUAGUUCAACUUGAUCCAUACAGUGCCAGUGAUUUUGUAAGAUUUGCCCAUAUCUUUUGAGGAAUUAAUUAUGCUUCAGGAAGAUGCUAAAUAAGCUGGUUAGCUCUGCCUCUGGGGUAAAAGGUCAGCAAAUCUGCUUGGAUGUUCCUCUCAAGGUGAUGAGAUAUUGCUUGUUGUAGAGUACAUGCCUAGAAAGACAUAUCUUCCCCUGUGAGUAUGUUAACUGCUUGUGAGCAGGCCACUACUUUACAAAGUUUACUACAGCAGCAAGGAUGCUAUGCUUUGAUUAGUUGAGCCGCCCUCUGUUAUUUCGUUCAUGGGCAGAGUCGGUGGAGGUGCAGCGCCUCAGCAUGUCAAGGUAUAGGGAUGGAACCUGAUCCUUAUUUCAUAGUAUGUUUAUGUUCUUACGAUAAGUGACUCAUGUUUCUUCUGUGUAAUGCUAGGAUAAAGUUUGAUUUUCUCUGUACUACUCCAACUUGGUCCUAUCUCUAACUACAAAAAUUUUAUGUAUCAUUUUAAUUUAGAUUUAUUAUUAUUAGAAUUAGAUGGUGUGCAUUGAAUAUGAAAAUAGGGCCAAGUACUGCUAUGGUGUAUAUCCUGUUGAGUUUUCAUGGGAUCUUGAAGCUCACGGUUGAUCUCUUUGUAGCUUAUAAAAGAUAGUUAUAUCAUUUUACUGGAUGUAUAACCAGAAAGGUGGGCUAACAAACUGUAAUAUGUGACAUAAAAUAUGAUAAUGUAAACUUCCUUUAUUUUCUUCCAUGGAUAGAUCGGGUGGAGGUACACAGCCUCAAGAUGUCAAGGAAUCUGAUCCUUAUUUGACUGUGAACUUAGAAGGGUUUUCCAUCUUAUAAUAUGAUAAUGCAGGCUUCCUUACCUUGACCAGAAUUUAGCAUUUUGGUAUUGCCUCAUUACCAUGCAAUGUAGGCUACAUCACCACUUUUUAAAUAUAAGCCAUCAUUUGUGCCGGUCCUUAUCAAGCAGUUCCUUAUCAAAGGGGAUUUUGAUGUUCUCGCUGAAACAGAGGACUUGAAUUGAUGAUUUUUAGGAUUAGUAAACAUUAGCACAACCAUGAUUAUCCAGUUGAGAAAUCUUAUAUUUUAAUUGCGACAAGUAAUGUAGGCUGCAAGAGUUGUCUUUUAAGUAAUGCAAAUUCUUCUGUCAGUAGCUAAUGCUGUUUAGAAAUUUUGAUUUCCCAUUUUUUUGUAGCUCUCUUCAUUUUUGGCACUGGUAUACAUUUGUUUUAUAUCUUUCUCAUUGCGUUCAUAGCAUUUUGUCAUGUUUCUUCCUUUUUACAGAGCUAUUUUGAUGUUGUGUCAAGAAUUUUGGCUAAUUGAUGGCUCAAAUGAUUGCAAGCAUAUGAUAUUGUCGGCUGAGUGAUUGCAGGCAUAUCAACCACAGGAAAGCGUAGCACAGAAGAUUCUUGCCUCCCUUUUUUGUUUUGGUGUGAAAUUGCAGUCAAGCUACUUACAUACGACUCUUAUCAGGGCAUUCGAGAAUUUUCAAAUUGGGUCUGCUUCUGCUUUAGCCUGAUUUAUGUUUCUACUGUAGGUGUUGCUCUAUGGCAGUACAUAUUUUUUGCACUAUUGAAGGGAUAAGAACAGCGUGCUACCUAUUUAUGCUUUUAGUAUUGCUUGAUAGACCGAGGCCCUGUUGUGGAACUGAUAUUGUUUUUUAAAUGUUGGAACAAAUGAUGGUUUGAUCUAUGUGCAGUUGCAAUGUUUAUUUCUCAA